RNAcentral lists this microRNA precursor (93 nucleotides) under Oryza sativa (Asian cultivated rice). RNAcentral's name for it is "miR5157a stem-loop (osa-MIR5157a, osa-MIR5157b)". The record is from miRBase by way of RNAcentral. Lineage: Eukaryota; Viridiplantae; Streptophyta; Magnoliopsida; Poales; Poaceae.
GCCUUAAGAACUUUUUAAUAGCUACAACUUCUCUCUUAGAAUCAACUCUUCUAAGAGAGAAGUUGUGGCUAUCAAAAAGUUCCUGAGGCCCUA